UACGUAGGGGGCAAGCGUUGUCCGGAAUCAUUGGACGUAAAGCGCGUGUAGGCGGCCCGAUAAGUCCGCUGUGAAAGUCCAGGGCUCAACCCUGGGAUGCCGGUGGAUACUGUCGGGCUCGAGUCCGGAAGAGGAGUGUGGAAUUCCUGGUGUAGCGGUGAAAUGCGCAGAUAUCAGGAGGAACACCAAUGGCGAAGGCAGCACUCUGGGACGUGACUGACGCUGAGACGCGAAAGCGUGGGGAGCAAACAGG
Molecule: ribosomal RNA, 253 nt
Filed under: uncultured bacterium
Lineage: Bacteria
Description: partial 16S ribosomal RNA
Rfam family: Bacterial small subunit ribosomal RNA
Source: RNAcentral